Molecule: long non-coding RNA, 484 nt
Filed under: Setaria viridis
Lineage: Eukaryota; Viridiplantae; Streptophyta; Magnoliopsida; Poales; Poaceae
Description: long non-coding RNA (SVIR_LNC002808)
Source: RNAcentral
UCCCCGAGCGGCUGAGCAGUAAGCAUUGAGCAACGUCCAAAGGAUGGCAGCUUACGCCCCACAGUGAAGAGGAGCUAUCUCGGCCUGGGCUGCUCCUUUUGGAUUCUGAAAUUUGAGAGUACACAGUUCACAUGAUCUAAUCGCCGUCGGUCUCUUUUCAGCAUAUAGGUUGCAGCUCAGUACUCACCAUAUACGUUGAUCAAAGAAUGAGAAGUCUGAAAUAUUGGCGUGCACUUAUAGAAAUGUGUGCAGUAAUUAAUAAAUUAGGUUUUGUCAUCCAUAUGUAUUAGAAAUUAAUGGAAAAAUUAGGCCCAUAUCUAAUAAUCAAAAUUAUUUACCUUAUUUUCUCUUUCAUUUAUUAAAGAUUCUAACAUACUCCCUCCAACCAAAAUACAAGUCACCCAAGGAAUUUUAGGACAGUUUAAUACGGAGGUAAAAUGACCCAUUUAUUAGUUAUAUUUGAUGCUAAUUGAUUGCUACACGC